This 397-nucleotide ribosomal RNA is filed under the name uncultured bacterium. RNAcentral's name for it is "bacterial SSU rRNA". It matches the Rfam family "Bacterial small subunit ribosomal RNA", at positions 362 to 776 of the family's 1533-position model. The record is from RNAcentral.
UCUUAGACAAUGGGGGAAACCCUGAUCUAGCCAUGCCGCGUGAUCGAUGAAGGCCUUAGGGUUGUAAAGAUCUUUCAGCUGGGAAGAUAAUGACGGUACCAGCAGAAGAAGCCCCGGCUAACUCCGUGCCAGCAGCCGCGGUAAUACGGAGGGGGCUAGCGUUAUUCGGAUUUACUGGGCGUAAAGCGCACGUAGGCGGAUCAGAAAGUUAGGGGUGAAAUCCCGGGGCUCAACCUCGGAACUGCCUCUAAAACUCCUGGUCUUGAGGUCGAGAGAGGUGAGUGGAAUUCCGAGUGUAGAGGUGAAAUUCGUAGAUAUUCGGAGGAACACCAGUGGCGAAGGCGGCUCACUGGCUCGAUACUGACGCUGAGGUGCGAAAGCGUGGGGAGCAAACAGG